GAUGAAGAACGUAGCGAAAUGCGAUACGUAAUGUGAAUUGCAAAUUCAGUUAAUCAUCGAGUCUUUGAACGCACAUUGCGCCCCCUGGUAUUCCGGGGGACAUGCCUGUCCGAGCGUCAUUGCUGCCCUCAAGCACGGCUUGUGUGUUGGGCCCCGUCCUCCGAUCCCGGGGGACGGGCCCGAAAGGCAGCGGCGGCACCGCGUCCGGUCCUCGAGCGUAUGGGGCUUUGUCACCCGCUCUGUAGGCCCGGCCGGCGCUUGCCGAUCAACCCAAAUUUUUAUCCAGGUUGACCUCGGAUCAGGUAGGGAUACCCGCUGAACUUAAGCAUAUCAAUAAGCGGAGGA
RNAcentral lists this unclassified non-coding RNA (345 nucleotides) under soil metagenome. RNAcentral's name for it is "partial contains 5.8S ribosomal RNA, internal transcribed spacer 2, and large subunit ribosomal RNA". The stretch from base 1 to 119 matches the Rfam family "5.8S ribosomal RNA", at positions 35 to 154 of the family's 154-position model. The record is from RNAcentral.